CCCGGAUAGUUAAUUAAAACACUUAGGUCGUGACCCUAAAAAUUAGAGGUACCCUCUUCCGAGCU
RNAcentral lists this transfer RNA (65 nucleotides) under Agama doriae. RNAcentral's name for it is "tRNA-His". The record is from RNAcentral. Lineage: Eukaryota; Metazoa; Chordata; Lepidosauria; Squamata; Agamidae.